Molecule: transfer RNA, 64 nt
Filed under: Pseudoxanthomonas sp. OG2
Lineage: Bacteria; Pseudomonadati; Pseudomonadota; Gammaproteobacteria; Lysobacterales; Lysobacteraceae
Also listed under: 2 other names
Description: tRNA-Lys
Source: RNAcentral
GGGCGGUCGGUAGAGCAAAAGACUUUUAAUCUUUUGGUCGAAGGUUAGAAUCCUGCGCGACCCG